AGAACUUAGCAGAGAUGCUUUGGUGCCUUCGGGGAACUCUGAGACAGGUGCUGCAUGGCUGUCGUCAGCUCGUGUUGUGAAAUGUUGGGUUAAGUCCCGCAACGAGCGCAACCCUUAUCCUUUGUUGCCAGCGGUCCGGCCGGGAACUCAAAGGAGACUGCCAGUGAUAAACUGGAGGAAGGUGGGGAUGACGUCAAGUCAUCAUGGCCCUUACGAGUAGGGCUACACACGUGCUACAAUGGCGCAUACAAAGAGAAGCGACCUCGCGAGAGCAAGCGGACCUCAUAAAGUGCGUCGUAGUCCGGAUUGGAGUCUGCAACUCGACUCCAUGAAGUCGGAAUCGCUAGUAAUCGUAGAUCAGAAUGCUACGGUGAAUACGUUCCCGGGCCUUGUACACACCGCCCGUCACACCAUGGGAGUGAGUUGCAAAAGAAGUAGGUAGCUUAACCUUCGGGAGGGCGCUUACCACUUUGUGAUUCAUGACUGGGGUGAAGUCGUAACAAGGUAAGCGUAGCGAG
This 518-nucleotide ribosomal RNA is filed under the name uncultured bacterium. RNAcentral's name for it is "bacterial SSU rRNA". It matches the Rfam family "Bacterial small subunit ribosomal RNA", at positions 992 to 1509 of the family's 1533-position model. The record is from RNAcentral.